Molecule: long non-coding RNA, 1177 nt
Filed under: Ailuropoda melanoleuca (giant panda)
Lineage: Eukaryota; Metazoa; Chordata; Mammalia; Carnivora; Ursidae
Description: lncRNA (ENSAMEG00000023688.1)
Source: RNAcentral
UAACAAUCAAGAUGUAACUCUAAGUCCUUUCAAUUUUUUCUAUUUCUGUAGAAAAUAAUUUAUAGAAAAUAAUUUUUAUUUUAGUGUUCCCCUGGAGUGUUUGCCUUGGUAGAGUGGUAUUGCUGGGAGUGAGGAAGAUUGUGGGAAGUUCCUAGCACGCAGUGUUUAUAAGGAAGAACAAAUGAACUGAAAAAAGAGGUGGAAGGGGCGCCUGGGUGGCUUAGUAGGUUAAGUGGCUGACUCUUGGUUUCGGCUCAGGUUAUCAUCUCGAGUUCAUGAGAUCAAGCCUUAUGUUGGCUCCCCACUCAGCAGGAAGCCCUCUUCUCUCCCUCUGCCCUUCCCCUUGCCCACAUGCUUGCUGUCUCUUUCUCUCUAAAAUAAAAUAAAAUAAAUUGAAAAAAAAAAAGAGGUGGGAGACAGGGAAAAGGAGGCAGGAACACCUGAAGUCUUUAAGGAUUAGCAGACGGUGAACCCGUCAAGGACAGGAAAUAUAUCUGGUUCACCAUUGUACUCAGGUUAGAGAGCAGUGCCCGGAACACAGUAGGUGCACAACAAAUGUUUAUUGAACAGAUGAAGGAAUGUAUGUUCUAAAAUGAGUGGGUGGUGUCUGUUCUGAAAGGAGAGGUAGGGGAACUUUCUAAACUACAUUCAUAUGCUUAACUAAGUUUCCCUAAGCAUGGUCCUGCUGAAGAUUAUAGAAUCAUGGUAUUGAUGUGGGAGGCUGUGGAGUUUCCUUCUAAAGAUCUUUAAAAAGAAGAUAGGUUCUUAUCUGUCUGGAAGGAUCUUAUGAAAAACAGAAGAUUGAUCUGAGUAAUUAGAAUAGCCUCUGGCCCUUUUCUUCCUUGAGCUUGUUUUUGCUUUUUAAUUUCAGGAAAUGCAAUGCAAAAGCAUGUACCAUCACCAUCACACCAACAACAAUAACUAUUUGUUGAGAGUUUAUGCCAGGAACACCAGGCCUAAAGAAGCCAUCUGUCCUGAAUGUAAGGCCCAACAAGUGUCUUGAACAACACAUGAAAAACACUUGGGACAGAGUACCGACCUGACCCACAGAACUGUGAGUAAAAAUAAAUGCUUAUUGUUCUAUGCUACUGAUAUCGCUGAGUUUGUUAUAUGACCUUGUUGUGGCAGUAGUUGACUGGUACUAUUAUGUAAACAAAUGAUCUAUAUACACUUGUAU